This 425-nucleotide ribosomal RNA is filed under the name Acanthamoeba genotype T4. Its description in RNAcentral is "SSU rRNA". It matches the Rfam family "Eukaryotic small subunit ribosomal RNA", at positions 739 to 1116 of the family's 1831-position model. The record is from RNAcentral. Lineage: Eukaryota; Discosea; Longamoebia; Acanthamoebidae.
UGGCCCAGAUCGUUUACCGUGAAAAAAUUAGAGUGUUCAAAGCAGGCAGAUCCAAUUUUCUGCCACCGAAUACAUUAGCAUGGGAUAAUGGAAUAGGACCCUGUCCUCCUAUUUUCAGUUGGUUUUGGCAGCGCGAGGACUAGGGUAAUGAUUAAUAGGGAUAGUUGGGGGCAUUAAUAUUUAAUUGUCAGAGGUGAAAUUCUUGGAUUUAUGAAAGAUUAACUUCUGCGAAAGCAUCUGCCAAGGAUGUUUUCAUUAAUCAAGAACGAAAGUUAGGGGAUCGAAGACGAUCAGAUACCGUCGUAGUCUUAACCAUAAACGAUGCCGACCAGCGAUUAGGAGACGUUGAAUACAAAACACCACCAUCGGUUGCGGUCGUCCUUGGCGUCUCGGUUUCGGCCGGGGCGCGGGACGUAGUCCCGUCA